This 30-nucleotide non-coding RNA is filed under the name Homo sapiens (human). The record is from RNAcentral. Lineage: Eukaryota; Metazoa; Chordata; Mammalia; Primates; Hominidae.
UUAGCGCUAUCCAGUUCUCCCAAGUUCUGC